UACGUAGGGGGCAAGCGUUAUCCGGAUUUACUGGGUGUAAAGGGAGCGUAGACGGUAUGGCAAGCCCGAUGUGAAAGCCCGCAGCUCAACUGCGGGACUGCAUUAGGAACUGUCAAACUAGAGUGUCGGAGAGGCAAGUGGAAUUCCUAGUGUAGCGGUGAAAUGCGUAGAUAUUAGGAGGAACACCAGUGGCGAAGGCGGCUUGCUGGACGAUGACUGACGUUGAGGCUCGAAAGCGUGGGGAGCAAAC
RNAcentral lists this ribosomal RNA (250 nucleotides) under uncultured prokaryote. Its description in RNAcentral is "partial 16S ribosomal RNA". It matches the Rfam family "Bacterial small subunit ribosomal RNA", at positions 524 to 773 of the family's 1533-position model. The record is from RNAcentral.